RNAcentral lists this ribosomal RNA (345 nucleotides) under uncultured bacterium. RNAcentral describes it as "bacterial SSU rRNA". It matches the Rfam family "Bacterial small subunit ribosomal RNA", at positions 95 to 450 of the family's 1533-position model. The record is from RNAcentral.
GUGGCGGACGGGUGAGUAACACGUGAGAAUGUAUGCCUUUAGGAGGGGGAUAACAAUCGGAAACGAAUGCUAAUGACCCCAUAUGCUUUUGAGUAAAAUGGAUCUAUCCGCCUAAAGAGAAGCUCGCGGCUGAUUAGUCUUGUAGGUGAGGUAAGAGCUUACCAAGGCGACGAUCUGUAUCUGGUUUGAGAUGACGAUCAGACACACUGGAACUGAGACACGGUCCAUACUCCUACGGGAGGCAGCAGUGGGGAAUUUUCCGCAAUGGGCGAAAGCCUGACGGAGCAAUACCGCGUGAGGGAAGACUGCCUAUGGGUUGUAAACCUCUUGUUUUCAGGGAGGAAC